GGUGAAGUUACUAAGGGCAUACGGUGGAUGCCUUGGCACCAUAAGGCGAUGAAGGACGUGGCUACCUGCGAUAAGCUUCGGUGAGGUGGAAAACAACCUUAGACCCGAAGAUUUCCGAAUGGGAAAACCCUCCAGAGGU
This 139-nucleotide ribosomal RNA is filed under the name Bacteroidota bacterium. RNAcentral describes it as "Bacteroidetes bacterium (marine sediment metagenome) partial 23S ribosomal RNA". It matches the Rfam family "Bacterial large subunit ribosomal RNA", at positions 1 to 138 of the family's 2925-position model. Lineage: Bacteria; Pseudomonadati; Bacteroidota. The record is from RNAcentral.